GACGAACGCUGGCGGCGUGCUUAACACAUGCAAGUCGAACGGAAAGGCCCUGCUUUUGUGGGGUUCUCGAGUGGCGAACGGGUGAGUAACACGUGAGUAACCUGCCCUUGACUUUGGGAUAACUUCAGGAAACUGGGGCUAAUACCGGAUAGGAUCUCCUGCUGCAUGGUGUGGGUUGGAAAGUUUCGGCGGUUCGGGAUGGACUCGCGGCUUAUCCGCUUGUUGGUGGGGUAGUGGCUUACCAAGGCUUUGACGGGUAGCCGGCCUGGGAGGGUGACCGGGCACAUUGGGACUGAGAUACGGCCCAGAAUCCUACGGGAGGCAGCAGUGGGGAAUAUUGCACAAUGGGCGGAAGUCUGAUGCAGCAACGCCGGGUGCGUGAUGACGGCCUUCGGGUUGUAAACCGCUUUCGCCUGUGACGAAGCGUGAGUGACGGUAAUGGGUAAAGAAGCACCGGCUAACUACGUG
This 468-nucleotide ribosomal RNA is filed under the name uncultured bacterium. RNAcentral's name for it is "partial 16S ribosomal RNA". It matches the Rfam family "Bacterial small subunit ribosomal RNA", at positions 28 to 507 of the family's 1533-position model. The record is from RNAcentral.